GAUUCUUCGACUGAAAGAUGACGCAAUGGUGGGAGCUUUUUUGAUUAGAAACUUUGGGGUUUCCUAAUUUCUACAUUUUGUAGGUUGGAUGCAACCAUGUUGCAAGUCGGAUGCACAUAUUUUCAAAGUUAUCGGCACGAGAAGGACUGAGAACAGAAUCUGGACUGAUACCAACUGGAGGAUAAUCUAACAAGAUAAUGCAUCAGAGACGAAUCCAUGCGCAUAAUAAUAACCAUUGUGGAACCUGUGCUUUCAACGGAUAUUCAACAGCAUUGAAAAAAAGCUCGUAAAUAUUCUUCAAGCACGGCACUUCAAGAUAAACGAGAAAGGAUGGAAUUUCAAAGUAUUUUCGCACCCCGUUAAUAUUUUUAUUUUUACGGUGGUUGCAACUUUUAAUUUAUUAAAAUUUAUGAUCGGAAAAUUCCAGGCCAAAAAUGAAAUACCCUAAAAUUUCAUCGAAACUCGGUUAACAGAUUUUAUUUCCGAGUUCAUAUCUACUAUGUACUUAAUACAAUUUAUUGGCCCCCUCUAGAAAUAAAAAAAUAAAAGUCCUUUUUUUAAGGGUUUGAUGU
This is a long non-coding RNA of Eurytemora carolleeae, 572 nucleotides long. RefSeq lists it as uncharacterized. The transcript is spliced from 3 exons. NCBI's taxonomy places the organism in Eukaryota, Metazoa, Arthropoda, Copepoda, Calanoida, Temoridae. The record is from RefSeq and is a predicted model, not a curated record.